RNAcentral lists this ribosomal RNA (3371 nucleotides) under Pinus taeda (loblolly pine). RNAcentral describes it as "eukaryotic LSU rRNA". It matches the Rfam family "Eukaryotic large subunit ribosomal RNA". The record is from RNAcentral. Lineage: Eukaryota; Viridiplantae; Streptophyta; Pinopsida; Pinales; Pinaceae.
GUGACCUCAGCUUAGGCGAGAACACCCACUACGUUUAAGCAUAUAAUUAAGCAAAGGAAAAGAGACUUACAAGGAUUCCCCUAGUAGCGGCGAGUGAACUAGGAAGAGCCUGGCAUGAAAAUAGGGCGACAGCAUCGCCUGAAUUGUAGUCUAUAGAAGCAUCCUCAGCAGGGGACUUGGGCCAAGACCCUUGGAAGGCGGUGCCUGAGAGGGUGAUAGCCCUGUCAGGCUGGGAUCUUGUCGCAUCACGAGGCGUUAUGGGCGAGUCGGGUUAUUUUGGAAUGCAUCCCUAAUUGGGUGGUAAAUUCCUUCGUAGACUAAGUACGGGCGAAAGACUAAUAGAGAAAAAGUACUAAGAGGGAAAGAUGAAAAGGAAAUUGAAAAGAGAGUUAAAUAGUGCUUGAAAUUGUUGGGAUGGAAGCAGAUGGACGCUAUCGACGCAUCUCAGGCGUAUGUGGAAUGGCUCAGGCUUGUCUGCCGCUUGACUUGAGAUGCAAACCAACAUGGGAAGCUACAUAGUCACAAGCACGGGUGGGUUACUACCUGUCAGUUUGCAGUUUCGAUGGUUGAGGAAUGAAACAUGUGCCCUUGUGGCAAGCCGUGUGCACAUAUGCACUCGCGGUGUUUAUUGGCGGGCCUUCCAUUUGACCCAUCUUGAAACACAGACCAAGGAGUCUAACAUGUGUGCGAGUCAAAGGGUUUGAAAACCUGUGAUGUGCAAGGAAGCUAACGGGCACGAUCCCCUCUCUUGGGGGGUGCAUCGUCGACCAACCUUGAGCUUAUGUGAAGGGUUCGAGUGCGAUCACACCUGUUGGGACCUGAAAGAUGGUGAACUAUGCCUGAGUAGGGCAAAGUCAGAAGAAACUCUGGUGGAGGCUCAUAGUGAUACUGACAUGAAAAUUUUGCAUAUGACUUGGGUAUAGGGGCCAAAUACUAAUCAAACCAUCUAGCAGUUGGUUUCCUCCAAAGUUUCCCUCAGGAUAGAUGGAGGUCAUGCACAAGUUUUAUCAUGUAAAGAAAAUUAUUAGAGGCAUCUGGGGCAUAACACGCUUGACCUAUCCUCAAACUUUAAAUAGGUAAGAGGGUGUGGCUGCUCCAUUAAGCCAUGUCAUGAAAUAGAGAGCUCCAAUUGGGCCAUUUUUGGUAAGCAAAACUGGCGAUGUGGGAUGAACCGAAAGUCAAGUUACGAUGCUAAAUUACAUGCUAACCUAGAUCCCACAAAGGAUGUUGGUUGAUUAAGACAACAAUAUGGUGGUCAUGGAAGUCAAAAUUUGCUAAGGAGUGUGUAACAACUCACCCUACCAAAUCAAGCACACAACCUAUACUCGACCGUCAGAGAAAUUGCCUGGCUUCUGAGUAGGAGGACGCGGGGGUCAUUGGGAAACCUCAGGCAUGAGCUUGGGUGGAUCGGUCCCCAGUGCAGAUGUUGGUGGUAGUCGAAAAUAUUCAAAUGAGAACUCUGAAGACUGAAGUGGGGAAAGGUUCCAUGUGAAGAACACUUGGAUAUGGGUUAGUCUAUCCUAAGUGAUGGGGAAGCCUUGUAUCAAGGGUGCACUCUACAUGAGCAUCAAAAGGGAAUCAGGUUAAUAUUCUUGAACAAGGACAUGGUGGCAGGAAACAACGUUAGGAAAUCUAGAUAUGUCGUUAGGAGCCCCUAGAAGAGUUAUCUUUUCUUUUUAAUAGCUUCCCACCCUCGAAUCAAUUCAUGCAGAGAUAGGGUCCAACAGCUGGAGGAGCACCACACGUCUUGCAGUGAAUGGUGCACCCUCAGUGGCCAUUGAAAAUAUGGAGGACUAAGUACCAUUCAUGCCCAGUCGUACUCAUAACCGCAUCAGGUCUCUAAGGUGAACAACGUCUGGUCAAUAGAACAAUGUAGGUAAGGGAAUUCGGCAAAACAAAUCCAUAACUUCAGGAAAAGGAUUGGCUCUAAGGGCUAGGCCUAGGGGUUUGUACCGUCAACUCAUGGGUUAUCGGUAGUCUGCCCAAGCUACUCUUGCAGUGAGGGUGGGAAGUCGCAUGUCAAUUGGGCUAUAGGUGUAGAAUGCACCCUACCGGGGGCUUUUCCGUAGGAGGAAAAUAGUUGACUCAAAACUACUAUGGACAAGGGUAAUAUAGAUGUUUAAUUAAAACAAAGAAUUGAGAUGGUCUCUAUGGAUGUAGAUGCAAUGUGAUUUCUACUCAAUGCUCUGAAUGUCAAAGUGAAGAAAUUCAACCAAGCGCGGGUAAACGGUGGGAGUAACUUUGACUCUCUUGAGGAAACCAAAUGCCUCAUCAUCUAAUUAGUGACACACAUGAAUGGAUUAACAAGAUUCCAACUGUCCCUAUCUACUAUCUAGCAAAAUCACAGCCAAGGCAAUGGCCUUGGCAGAAUUAGUAGGGAAAGAAGACCCUAUUGAGCUUGACUCUAGUCUGACUUUGUGGAAUGACUUGAGAGGUGUAUAAUAAGUGUGACCCGUUUUUGGCACAAGUGAAAUACCAAUACUUUUAACGUUAUUUUACGUACUUCGUGGGGCAGAGAUGGGGCACUGCCCCUGUUUUUGGCCUUAAGGCACAUUUCAGUGGGUUGAUCCAAGAAGAAGACAUUUUUAGGUGGGGAGUUUGACUAGAAUGGCAUAGCUAUUAAAAGAUAACACAGGUGUCCUAAGAUGAGCUCAACAAGAAGAGAAAUCUCGUGUGGAACAAAAGGGUAAAAGGUCAUUUUGAUUUUGAUUUUUAGUACAAAUACAAACCGUGAAAGCGUGGCCUAUCAAUCAUUUAGAUUUUUAGAAUUUGAAGCUAGAGGUGUCAGAAAAUUUACCACAGGGAUAACUAGCUUGGGGCAGCCAAGUGUUCAUAGCAAUGUUGAUUUUUGAUCCUUCGAUGUUGGCUCUUCCUAUCAUUGUGAAGUAGAAUUCACCAAGUGUUGGAUUGUUCACCCACCAAUAGCGAAUGUGAGUUGGGUUUAUACUAUCAUGAGACAGGUUAAUUUUACCAUACUGAUGAAUUGCACCUUAAUAUUAAUUCAACUUAGUACAAGAGGAACCAUUGAUUCACACAAUUGGUUAUCGCACUUGGUUGAAAAGACAGUGGUGCGAAGCUACCAUGUGUUGGAUUAUGAUUGAACACCUAUAAGUCAUAAUCCAUGCUAGAAGUGGUGCAUGCCACUCUUCAACUAUAUCUGGACCCGGAGUAGGGGCAUCGAUUUGUCACCCCUAGGGUCUCGUGUCAUUUGCAAACUAUGACUGUGAAGCAUUUUAGUCGGGGCAGCUUCUAAGUUCAAUUCCAAAUGGUCAUUGAGAAGAAUCCUUUGCAGAUGACUUAAAUACAUGAUGGGGUAUUUUAAGUGGCAGAGUGGCCUUUCUACCAUGAUCCCCUGAGAUUCAGCCCUUGGU